UAUACAUUACACUACUUAAAAUAGUCACUCUUCCCCAAAUUCUAAACUCUCAGGAUCAUAGUCAUUGGAUAUUUAUUCCCCUUUAAAGAAAAACGUUUAGAAGAUCUAUGAAUGUUAACAGUUCAGGGGAAUUGAGGUUACAUUUUACCUUUACUGUAGGAAAACAAAUAAGGAAAUUAUGCCCAGAUGUCUGCUUGGUUAUUAGCACUUGUUCCUGGUUAAUUAUUAAAUGUUUUUAUUAAUAAAGUCUAAGUCUUUCCACAUGAUACAUUUUUACUAUAUUACUUAAUAUUUCAUUCUUGUUUGUCUUUAGGUGUACAGUGAAUAUAGAGCCAGUCUUGCUUUUGACCUUGUUAGCAGCCGACAGAAAAAUGCAUACACUGAUUAUAGUGACUCUGUAGCACGGAGGAUGGGCUUUAUUCCUCUCCCACUAGCUGUUUUAGUUGAUAUCCCUGAAAGUGCUUAAUAGCAUCGUGCUGUUGGGGAAAUCGUGCCAGUAUGUGAAGGAAGCCAAAAUGGAAGAGAAGCUGUCGAAUCCUCCCCCAACCUGCACUCCAGGCAAG
Molecule: small RNA, 563 nt
Filed under: Pongo abelii (Sumatran orangutan)
Lineage: Eukaryota; Metazoa; Chordata; Mammalia; Primates; Hominidae
Description: retained intron
Source: RNAcentral